Molecule: ribosomal RNA, 305 nt
Filed under: uncultured bacterium
Lineage: Bacteria
Description: bacterial SSU rRNA
Rfam family: Bacterial small subunit ribosomal RNA
Source: RNAcentral
CCUACGGGAGGCAGCAGUGGGGAAUAUUGCGCAAUGGGCGAAAGCCUGACGCAGCGACGCCGCGUGAGGGAUGAAGGUCUUCGGAUCGUAAACCUCUGUCAGGAGGGAAGAAGUGGUUAUAUGCGAAUAGUGUAUGACUUUGACGGUACCUCCAAAGGAAGCACCGGCUAACUCCGUGCCAGCAGCCGCGGUAAUACGGAGGGUGCGAGCGUUAAUCGGAAUUACUGGGCGUAAAGCGCUCGUAGGCGGUAUGUCAAGUCAAGGGUGAAAUCCCCGCGCUCAACGUGGGAACUGCCUUUGAAACU